GAUGAACGCUGGCGGCGUGCCUAACACAUGCAAGUCGAGCGAUUCUCUUCGGAGAAGAGCGGCGGACGGGUGAGUAACGCGUGGGUAACCUGCCCUGUACACACGGAUAACAUACCGAAAGGUAUGCUAAUACGGGAUAACAUAAGAAAUUCGCAUGUUUUUCUUAUCAAAGCUCCGGCGGUACAGGAUGGACCCGCGUCUGAUUAGCUAGUUGGUGAGGUAAUGGCUCACCAAGGCGACGAUCAGUAGCCGACCUGAGAGGGUGAUCGGCCACAUUGGAACUGAGACACGGUCCAAACUCCUACGGGAGGCAGCAGUGGGGAAUAUUGCACAAUGGGCGAAAGCCUGAUGCAGCAACGCCGCGUGAGCGAUGAAGGCCUUCGGGUCGUAAAGCUCUGUCCUCAAGGAAGAUAGUGACGGUACUUGAGGAGGAAGCCCCGGCUAACUACGUGCCAGCCGCCGCCGUAA
Molecule: ribosomal RNA, 468 nt
Filed under: uncultured bacterium
Lineage: Bacteria
Description: partial 16S ribosomal RNA
Rfam family: Bacterial small subunit ribosomal RNA
Source: RNAcentral